This 465-nucleotide ribosomal RNA is filed under the name Vreelandella stevensii. Its description in RNAcentral is "partial 16S ribosomal RNA". It matches the Rfam family "Bacterial small subunit ribosomal RNA", at positions 338 to 795 of the family's 1533-position model. Lineage: Bacteria; Pseudomonadati; Pseudomonadota; Gammaproteobacteria; Oceanospirillales; Halomonadaceae. The record is from RNAcentral.
CCUACGGGGGGCAACAGUGGGGAAUAUUGGACAAUGGGCGAAAGCCUGAUCCAGCCAUGCCGCGUGUGUGAAGAAGGCCUUCGGGUUGUAAAGCACUUUCAGUGGGGAAGAAAGCCUUGGGGCUAAUACCCUCGAGGAAGGACAUCACCCACAGAAGAAGCACCGGCUAACUCCGUGCCAGCAGCCGCGGUAAUACGGAGGGUGCGAGCGUUAAUCGGAAUUACUGGGCGUAAAGCGCGCGUAGGCGGUCUGAUAAGCCGGUUGUGAAAGCCCCGGGCUCAACCUGGGAACGGCAUCCGGAACUGUCAGGCUAGAGUGCAGGAGAGGAAGGUAGAAUUCCCGGUGUAGCGGUGAAAUGCGUAGAGAUCGGGAGGAAUACCAGUGGCGAAGGCGGCCUUCUGGACUGACACUGACGCUGAGGUGCGAAAGCGUGGGUAGCAAACAGGAUUAGAUACCCUUGUAGUC